AAAACUUUCAACAACGGAUCUCUUGGUUCCAGCAUCGAUGAAGAACGCAGCGAAAUGCGAUAACUAAUGUGAAUUGCAGAAUUCAGUGAAUCAUCGAAUCUUUGAACGCACAUU
This 114-nucleotide ribosomal RNA is filed under the name Cetrelia braunsiana. Its description in RNAcentral is "5.8S ribosomal RNA". It matches the Rfam family "5.8S ribosomal RNA", at positions 1 to 112 of the family's 154-position model. From Rfam's summary of the family: 5.8S ribosomal RNA (5.8S rRNA) is a component of the large subunit of the eukaryotic ribosome. It is transcribed by RNA polymerase I as part of the 45S precursor that also contains 18S and 28S rRNA. The record is from RNAcentral. Lineage: Eukaryota; Fungi; Ascomycota; Lecanoromycetes; Lecanorales; Parmeliaceae.